UACGGAGGGGGCGAGCGUUAUUCGGAAUUAUUGGGCGUAAAGGGCGCGUAGGCGGCCUGAUAAGUCAAAGGUGAAAUCCCUCGGCUCAACUGAGGAACUGCCUUUGAAACUGUCGGGCUUGAGGCCGGGAGGGGGUAGCGGAAUUCCCAGUGUAGCGGUGAAAUGCGUAGAUAUUGGGAGGAACACCAGUGGCGAAGGCGGCUACCUGGACCGGUUCUGACGCUGAGGCGCGAAAGCGUGGGUAGCAAACAGG
RNAcentral lists this ribosomal RNA (253 nucleotides) under uncultured bacterium. Its description in RNAcentral is "partial 16S ribosomal RNA". It matches the Rfam family "Bacterial small subunit ribosomal RNA", at positions 524 to 776 of the family's 1533-position model. The record is from RNAcentral.